Nymphaea colorata (pocket water lily) is the source of this 1385-nucleotide long non-coding RNA. RefSeq lists it as uncharacterized. The record is from RefSeq and is a predicted model, not a curated record. NCBI's taxonomy places the organism in Eukaryota, Viridiplantae, Streptophyta, Magnoliopsida, Nymphaeales, Nymphaeaceae. The transcript is spliced from 4 exons.
GAACUAUAAUCUUGUGGUAAAGGUAUUGCUGGACUGUACGCCAUCUGGUCAACUUCCUGAAUGUGUUGGUCAAAAGCUUAAAAGUACUGUAAGUUAGUAACUAAUAUGUAAACAUUGAACUGAAAAAUGCUCGUUGGAUUAUCCCCUCUAAGACUGAAUGUGUUGGUCAAAAGCUUGAAAGUACUGUAAGUUCGUAACUAAUAGGUAUACAUUGAUCUGAAAAAUGCUCGUUGUAUUACCCCUCCAAGGUUGAAUGUGUUGGUCAAAAGCUUAAAAGUAUUGUAAGUUAGUAACUAAUAUGCAAACAUUGAACUGAAAAAUGCUUGUUGGAUUAUCCCCUCUAAGGACAAUGGGUGUUUAUCAAGUAACUGCUUAUGUUUUCUUUUUUCCUGCUGCAACCUAAGCUUUAAGAACCUGACAGGUAAGGUGCCUAAACCUUUAGGAGAAGUGACAAAUUUAAAGGUUCUUGUAAGGGUGUAUGUUUUUAGAUUACGGUAAGGUGCCUAAACCUUUAGGAGAAGUGACAAAGUUAAAGGUUCUUGUAAGGGUGUAUGUUUUUAGAUUACGGCUAGCAGUUAUCCUGUAAAGAAUGUUACAAGUAUACGUUUGGUGUAGGGUUUUGACAAACAACAACCUUGCUGGCCCCAUUCAGUAUGCAGAAUUGACAAGAAAAGAUACACUUAAAGGGGACUUGUCAUACAAUAGCUUCACAAACAUGUCUUCUAAUGCAGCAACUUCUUGCGUGCAACAAAGCCUGUGAGAGCCCCCAUACAGUUUCGUGUUUUUCAGAUUGUUUUCGUCCAUUAUGUUCCUCAUUGUCGCUGACAAUCACCAUUACCAUUCUUCAGCAAUCUAGUUAAAAAGUGUGAAGGCACAGGAAAAAGAAUUUUACUUUUCACACAAAUUGCUGUAGCCAGGGUCCAGUUAGUACUGCAAACAAGUACGUUGUUGGGGGUAAGCCAUUUUCUGUGCCUCAAGCAGAAGGUAAAUUAUAUAGUACUGCCUGUUUUUGUGCAAUCUAGCUGAAAUACUAUGGGUUCUGCCUCUAUAGCGGGUCUCGAUAGUUAUAACUGAUGAUAAGAAUUAUAGCAACCAGGAAACAGUAUUUUCAUGUGUAUAUUCAGGUAAAGGCUCAAGUCGAACAUGGGUUAUUGAGAAAAUUAUUAAAAUGUUGGCAGUCUAUCAUGAAUUUCAUUAGUGUGCGCGUAUCAAAUAAUACACUGGAGAUUCACCUUUUUUUGUGAUAGAAAGGGCGGUACAGCGAUUCCAUGGUCCUCCUAUGUCGGCUAUUUCUCUAGAAGCUGGCUUUCCACUGCGCUCCUACAGCUUCCCCAUUGCAAUAGCAGGCGGCAGCUACCAUAGCCGACAGCCGGCGACAUCCAGCG